UGUCCUUUUAAGGAGGGGACGACACAGAGACACACAGGGGAGAAAGCCACGUGAGAAGAGAGGCAAAGAUGGGAGUUAUAUAGCUCCAAGACCACAAAUGUCUGGAACCACAAGUGGCUGCAAGAGGCAAGGUCUCCAUUCUAAAAGCAAACCCUUGGGGGACCUCAGUGGCUCUGUCGGUUAAGCAUCUAUCUUCUGCUCCGGUUGUGAUCAUGGGGUGCUGGGAUGAAGGCUGGCAUCGGGCUCCCUGCUCAGCGGGGAGUCUGCUCUCACUCCCUCUGUCCUUGCCCUCCAACUCAUGCUUUCUCUCUCUCUCAAAUAAAUAAAUGAAAUCCUUUAAAAAUAAAAAUAAAUGAAGGCAAAUCCUUA
Molecule: long non-coding RNA, 369 nt
Organism: Mustela lutreola (European mink)
Lineage: Eukaryota; Metazoa; Chordata; Mammalia; Carnivora; Mustelidae
Exons: 2
Source: RefSeq, a predicted model, not a curated record